AAUGGGCGAAAGCCUGACGGAGCAACGCCGCGUGAGGGAUGAAGGCCUCUGGGCUGUAAACCUCUUUUAUCAAGGAAGAAGAUCUGACGGUACUUGAUGAAUAAGCCACGGCUAAUUCCGUGCCAGCGGCCGCGGUAAUACGGGAGUGGCAAGCGUUAUCCGGAAUUAUUGGGCGUAAAGCGUCCGCAGGCGGCCCUUCAAGUCUGCUGUUAAAAAGUGGAGCUUAACUCCAUCAUGGCAGUGGAAACUGUUGGGCUUGAGUGUGGUAGGGGCAGAGGGAAUUCCCGGUGUAGCGGUGAAAUGCGUAGAUAUCGGGAAGAACACCAGUGGCGAAGGCGCUCUGCUGGGCCAUCACUGAUGCUCAUGGACGAAAGCCAGGGGAGCGAAAGGGAUU
This 394-nucleotide ribosomal RNA is filed under the name uncultured Gammaproteobacteria bacterium. RNAcentral's name for it is "bacterial SSU rRNA". It matches the Rfam family "Bacterial small subunit ribosomal RNA", at positions 370 to 779 of the family's 1533-position model. Lineage: Bacteria; Pseudomonadati; Pseudomonadota; Gammaproteobacteria. The record is from RNAcentral.